AACGAACGCUGGCGGCAUGCCUAACACAUGCAAGUCGAACGAGAUCCUUCGGGGUCUAGUGGCGCACGGGUGCGUAACGCGUGGGAAUCUGCCCUUAGAUUCGGAAUAACAGUUAGAAAUGACUGCUAAUACCGGAGGAUGACGUUAAGUCCAAAGAUUUAUCGCCUGAGGAUGAGCCCGCGUAGGAUUAGCUAGGUGGUGUGGUAAAGGCGCACCAAGGCGACGAUCCUUAGCUGGUCUGAGAGGAUGAUCAGCCACACUGGGACUGAGACACGGCCCAGACUCCUACGGGAGGCAGCAGUGGGGAAUAUUGGGCAAUGGGGGCAAGCCUGAUCCAGCAAUGCCGCGUGAGUGAGGAAGGCCUUAGGGUUGUAAAGCUCUUUUACCCGGGAUGAUAAUGACAGUACCGGGAGAAUAAGCCCCGGCUAACUCCGUG
Molecule: ribosomal RNA, 436 nt
Filed under: uncultured bacterium
Lineage: Bacteria
Description: partial 16S ribosomal RNA
Rfam family: Bacterial small subunit ribosomal RNA
Source: RNAcentral